GGUUAAGUGACUAAGCGUACACGGUGGAUGCCUAGGCAGUCAGAGGCGAUGAAGGGCGUGCUAAUCUGCGAAAAGCGUCGGUAAGGUGAUAUGAACCGUUAUA
This 103-nucleotide ribosomal RNA is filed under the name Salmonella enterica. RNAcentral describes it as "partial 23S ribosomal RNA". It matches the Rfam family "Bacterial large subunit ribosomal RNA", at positions 1 to 103 of the family's 2925-position model. The record is from RNAcentral. Lineage: Bacteria; Pseudomonadati; Pseudomonadota; Gammaproteobacteria; Enterobacterales; Enterobacteriaceae. RNAcentral also lists the same sequence under 1 other name.